This is a long non-coding RNA of Salvia splendens (bonfire salvia), 1101 nucleotides long. RefSeq lists it as uncharacterized. The record is from RefSeq and is a predicted model, not a curated record. The transcript has 3 exons. NCBI's taxonomy places the organism in Eukaryota, Viridiplantae, Streptophyta, Magnoliopsida, Lamiales, Lamiaceae.
CAAAUUCAUAAUUCCAUUAUGAAAUCGGAAUGGUGCAAUAGCUGUGGAAGAACAUGUAAGAUUUAUAAGUCCUACUCCAGGAUAUGUUGCGACUCAUGCGGCAGAGUUCUUUUAGAGGAUACAUAUGAGGAUGGAAUUAAGAUGCGAAUAGAUGAUUGGUAUGCUACCUUGUCCAAUAUAGUGAUCGAUGAAAGUGAGUCUGACUCGGAUGGUAGCUCGUCCUCGUCCUUGUCCACUUCGUCUGUCGAGCAGCGAAUUCCCGAGAUCGAGCCUUCAUUGUCGACCCCAAAGCAAAAGAGAAAUUUUAGAAUAAGGAGUUAAAUUCGCUUACCUUUAGUAAUUAGGGAUUCAAUUCGCCGACCUUUCGUAAUUUGGGAUCGAGAUAUGCUUAUUCUUCAUAAUAAGGGAUUUAUGAUAUUUUAACUUAUUUAUGUUCUUUUUUAAUAUUAUUUCCCUCUAACCAUUUAUCAAUUGCCUAAAUUACCUCCUUCAAAUUUUUACCUAAAUUCUACUACUUCAUCAAAAAUUCAAAGCCGUUUCCGUGACCUCUCCCAAAUCACCCGCCUUUUUUAUUCCAAACCUGCCUCCACCCUUCUCCUCUCCCCUACACGGCGCCUCCAAAUGAAUGUUCCGUAUAUUCUUCUCUUUGAUUUUACAGUGGAGUUGCUUGAUUUUGUGUAUGUAGUGCCUGUGCCAGUGCAAGAACAUAAAUUCUAUAUGAUGCUUUAACUUGGGAUGCCAUAUAACGAAGUAGUUUUGUGUUUAAAUUUUCUAUAGUUUAAUCGGUAUGUAUUCCUAAAACUAUCUGGAUUUAUAUUUUAGGAUAAUUAACAAAGCCAUUGCAUGCGAUGCAGAGAUCAUUGUUUACUGGAUUAGGAUUGUACUAGUAUAUUUAACUGAUUUACUGCUUUGGAUUCCUCAGAAAGACUUUAAAGUUGAUUGAGUGCACAAUUAGGUCUUACUAUCUCUUUCUCCAGCUAUCUUAUUUUGCUUCUAGUUCACAAUUUUUACCUACUACUUUUCUUACUAGCACUUACAAAUUAGUCAUAGCUAUCUCCUUGUUGAGAUAGGAAUUGAGUGAUUGCAAAGGCUGUCGGCUGC